Molecule: long non-coding RNA, 5080 nt
Filed under: Homo sapiens (human)
Lineage: Eukaryota; Metazoa; Chordata; Mammalia; Primates; Hominidae
Description: non-protein coding lnc-SCGB2B2-11:1
Source: RNAcentral
AGGCAAUCCCUUUCUCCACUCCUCAUCAUCCCAGUUAUGUCUUAUUAGUUGAAACAGUGUCUCGCUCUGUCACCCAGGCUGGAGUGCGGUGGCAUGACCAUAGCUCACUGCAGCCUUGAACUCUGGGCUCAAGCGAUUCUCUCACCUCGGUCUCCUGAGUAGCUAGAACUACAGGCAUGACCACCCCGUCCCGGCUAAUUUUCUUAUUAUUAUUAUUUGUAGAGACUGAGUUGCACUGUGUUGCCCAGGCUGGUCUCAAAUUCCUGGCUUCAAGAGAUCUUCCUGCCUCAGCCUCCCAAACUGUUGGGAUUACAGGUAUGCGUCACUGUGCCUGGCCAUAAGGUCAUUUUAUAUUCUGUUGUCUAUCACCAUCAGUACAAUCACUACCAUAUGCUGAGCCAAGUCCUGCCGAUCGCAGAGCUUAGGGCUCAGAAUCCCCAGGAUCCUGGGGGGUAGUGAAGCUGGGAGGGGUCAUGCCCCCAGGCCAGGGACUGACCAAGGAGAAUCGAAAGGAAACCUAGCCCAGAAAUUCCAAGAGAACAUGCUGCAGAGCCGGACACCUUCACGUGCCCCCAGCAAGAUGAUGUGGCCCUGAGAGAGGAGCGGACCAGAGGGUACACCUGACAGCAGAGGCAAGUUAGGAAGUCCGGGGACAGUCCUAACUCUGGAUAGCAAAGAUUUAAUUUCAAGCAUAAGGCAGCCCUGGAAAAGCAAUUGACUGCCACUGAGUAUUGAUGAAGCUAGCACUUACUGCAGGCUGUGGCGGGCACAGUUCCAAACAAGAGCCCCGUUCUAAAGAUGGGGAAACUGAGGUAUCGGCAUUUAGACAUCACAGACCUUACUUCAGGGCCGCUGGACAGGGGUCAGGCAGGCCCUGGAGCACAGGUGGCCAUGGGAGUGAAGGCAGAGGGACUGGGGCAGAGGACUGGUGGGGUGGUCAGUUCUGGGGCCUGAGCUGAAGAAGUCGGGAGCGGGGCGUGGCGUGGCGUUUCCACGCCCAUGGAUUUUAGACAGCUGUUCCGGGGGAGGAGGCGAGCCCACCGAGGAUGCUGAGUCAUGUUGACCGGCGAAGGCGAGGGGACCACGCCUCUGGAGCUACCGGGGUUGGCUCAUCGCCUCCGGGGAGGCCACGGAGCAGGUGUAGGCGGGGUUGAGCGCAGGCGCGGAUGGGGCGGGGGUAAUGCGCACGCGUGUGCGUGUGGGCCAGCACGUCCGGGUGGUCAGGACGCGCGCUUGUGCGCAUGUCCCCGCGCAGGGUCGGGCGCUGGGGUGUGGAGACUGAACCUUGCAGACACCCGGGUCCGCACGUCUGGGAUGGACGUGGUGAGUGCACGUGCGCACGCGCUGCGUAGGGGCGGCUGCGCUCAUGCGCACAUCGGGAGUGGUGCUUGGAGAGGCCACCUACUCACCGCGCCCCCAAGAGGCCGGGGGUUUGUCCCUGGUGUUGGCCCUACCCUGCGCGAUCCAGUCUUGUCGUUUCGGGGCUUCAUUACCAGAGCCCCGUGAAUCCUUUGCUAGAUGCUUAAAAACAUUUUCCCCAUUGUACAUAGCUGUUUCCACGAGAAUAAAAAGCUUUACAUUUAUUUGAGGCCUGCUUGGGCCUAUCCGCAGCUCCACCGUAGUGCUAAUCCCCUCCCAGUCCUGGAACAGCCCAGAUGAUGUAUUUAAUAGUAUUCUUUUAGCCCAACGCGAGAAUGUUUUCGUCUGGUUGUUUUUGUUUUUCGUUUUUAGAGACAGUCUCGCUAUAUUACCCAGGCUGGAGUGCAGUGUCAAGAUCUCGACUCACUGCAGCCUUGAACUCCUGGGCUCAAGUGAUCCUCCCACAGUGCUGGGAUUACAGGCGUGAGCCACCGCACCCGGCCUCUAGUUCUGUCUUUUUGCUCAGUAUUAGAAUUCGUAAGUUCUGGCCCCAGCAACUCGUCCUUUCAUCUGUCUCAAGUUGCACUGUGGUGGUCACAGGAGCUGUCCUGCACCUUGCACAUGUGGCCAUGAACAAGACUCGCUCCUUGCUCUCAUGGGGCCUUCAUUCCAGUGAGACACAAAUGCAAACACAAAAUUCCAGAAGAGUGCUGAGUGCUAUCAUGAGAAACGAAGACAGGCUGGAAGAUGGGCUCUGACCCCAGAAAACCGAUGGAGAGGCCCAAGCAGCCUUGGGAGCAACAGGCAAGUUGGAGGACACACGGCAAGGCUACUUGGAAGUAGGGGAGGGUGCAUGGGAAACCCUGAGGCUGUGGGGGGAGAGGCAGGAGCCAGGUGAAGUCCAGGUAGAUGGCAGUGGAGAUGUAAGAACAUGGUGGAAUUUUUUUGUUUUUGAGACGGAGUCUUGCUCUGUCCCCCAGGGUGGAGUGCAAUGGUGAGAUCUCAACUCACUGCAACUUCCGCCUCCCAGGUUCAAGCGAUUCUCUGGGAUUAUAGGCACCUGCCACCAUGCCCAGCUAAUUUUUGUAUUUUUUAGUAGAGAUGGGUUUUCACCAUGUUGGUCAGGCUAGUCUCGAACUCCUGACCGCGGGUGAUCCGCCCGCCUCAGCUUCCCAAAGUGCUGGGAUUACAGGCGUGAGCCACCGCGCCUGGCCAGAACAUGGUGGAAUUUGAGUGUGCUUGGGAAUACACUUAUAGGACUUGCUGAUUAGUUGAAUGAGGAAAUAAAAGAACGAAGAAUAUCUUCUGGGAUUUCAGCCUGAGCAACUGGGUUGCUGGUGGAUGGUGGUUCUCUUAUCAAGGAUGGGAAAGAUGGGUUGUCUCCCCUAAAAUACUGAGUUUUAAAGGCAGGGACUGUAUCUUUGCAGUCCUGGCUCCUAGCAAGGGCCUAGCCCUUAUAUGACAUUCGUGAAUGUUGAAAUGAAUGUGACACGCCUGAAACAAUCCUUCUCCCUCACCUAGGCCCACAUCUCCAAGUCAAUAUUCCAGUACAAGCCACAUCCAGUCCCCUCACUGACACACACAGGCCUGGGCCCAGGAGCUCACCCCUGUGCUGUAAGGCUAGGUGCAUGUGUUAUUUCCAGAGUCUACCCUUGGAGGUGCCUCAGACUCCUGGGUACCUGUCGCUGGGAGGUAGCCAGUCAUGCUGUCCACAUACAUGCUUUUGGGCAGUAGAGAAGCUGAUCAUUGGGAAGGUUUAUUUCCUGUCUCCACAACAGGAGGCAGGUCACAGCAGUGGCCACACAGUGCACAAAAGGCCAUCCCCUCACAGCCGCAUGGUUGGCAUGCAGCAUCUCAGCCUCCAAACUGGAAGCCCCCUAUCCAAGGAGCCCCCAGGUGGGAGAGGAAGGUCACAAGCCUCCCAAGUACCUCAAGAUGCCUGCGCAUCCUCCCCCAUUUCUCAGAUGGGCCAAGGCCUGUGAAGCCCUUGCAGUAGUAGCUCAGGUGUAGCAUCUGCUCAGCUUCCCUCCCCACUCAUUUGCACACAGCCAGAGCUGCGGGACUUCUGCCCUCUGGCCUCCAGCACUGCUGUGAAUCAGAACUAGUCAAGAGAACUGGGUGCUUGUGUUAAAUGGGAACACUCUGGAAUAAAAUAUGGGCUUUUUUAAAGAGAUGGGGUCUCACUAUGUUGCCCAGGCUGGUCUUGAACUCCUGGCCUCAAGCAAUCCUCCCAGGUCAGCCUCCCAAAUUGCUGGGAUUACAGGCGUGAGCCAGCACACCCAGCCCCUGCUAGCUUUUUAAUAUGAACUUCCAGUGUAUUCUUGAGCACUCUCAGGCAACAUGGCCGUUACCGAGCAACUUUGUCCUGAGGUGCAUUUGGAAGGCUCUGGGACUUGGUCCCCAUGCUCAACUUCAGGGCACCUUGGCAGAAAGAAGAGUGGUUCCUACACCAGCAGCUUAUAUAUUAAUGCCCACAUUACUCCAUUUUCUUCAGGUCGUCAAAAAAGGUUCCACUGAGGUGCUGUCUUUCUGUAAAUGAAAAUGAGCUGAAAUGCUCCUGUGACCUGCCCUCCAUUUGUGGGUCUCAUGAUACUAUCUUUCUUCUGCUUAACACGAUGGCAUCAUCCAGUGAGACAGGUCCUGUUUUUGUUUUUUUCUUUUUUUCUUUUUCUUUUUUGAGACAGAGUCUCACUCUGUUGCCCAGGCUGGAGUGCAGUGGAGCAGUCUUGGCUCACUGCAACCUCUGCCUCCCGGGUGCAAGCAGUUCUCCUGCCUCAGCCUUCCAAGCAGCUGGGAUUACAGGUACCUGCGACCAUACCACCUAAUUUUUUGUAUUUUUAGUAGAGAUGGGGUUUCGCCAUGUUGGGCAGGCUGGUCUUGAACUCCUGACCUCAUGAUCUACUGUCUCAGCCUCUCAAAGUGGUGGGAUUAUAGGCGUGAGCCACAGUGCCUGGCUUUUUUUUUUUUUUGGAGACAGCCCCAUCGUUCUGUCGCCAGGCUGGAGUGCAGUGGUGCGAUCUCGGCUCACUGCAACCUCUGACUUCCUGGUUCAAGCGAUUCUUCUGCCUAAGCCUCCUGAGUAGCUGGGAUUACAGGCACACGCCACCAUGCCCGACUAAUUUUUGUAUUCUUAGUAGAGAUGGGGUUUCACCAUGUUGGCCAGGAUGGUCUCGAUCUCCCGGCCUUGUGGUCCACCUGCCUCAGCCACCUACAGUUCUGGGAUUACAGGUGUGAGCCACUGCGGCCGGCAGAGACAGGUCCUUCUUAUCCCUGUAAGGCACAGUAUCUCUGCCAUAGAUUGGGUCCCUGGUUUGGGAAGAGGGUAAAACAAGCCCUCAUUCUUGGGUCUCGUCAUUGGACAAGCUGGCUGGGCAAGUCACAGCAUCCACAUUUGGUGGAACAUGGGUGUUGGUAGACCCCAACCCAGAGAGCUUGCACCCUUGCAGAGGACGUCUCCUUCACUACUGCACUGGCUCCCCCUGCACAGGGGCCUAAACCAGCUUGGGCCUUAGGGAAGCCAAUAGGGGAGGCGUAGCUGCUUGUUCUCCCUCCUGCCCAUCCACUUCAGCUCACCGUAAUAUCCCAAGUGGUCUUCCCCUUGCUAGAAUCAGAGGACAGGCUGACCUAAAAACCAACUCAGUAUGCAGCUUUUCAAAGCAAUGAGUCAGGCAGGGCUUUUGACAUAAUGUCCUCUGCAGUUCAUUUUAAACAAGGAUACAAA